This is an RNA transcript of Passer domesticus (house sparrow), 4758 nucleotides long. It is a transcript of the gene named solute carrier family 15 member 5, with no coding region annotated. NCBI's taxonomy places the organism in Eukaryota, Metazoa, Chordata, Aves, Passeriformes, Passeridae. The record is from RefSeq and is a predicted model, not a curated record. The transcript has 11 exons.
AUAAGGCUCAGUCAAUUAUGCCCUUUCCCAGCUUGUAACCCCAAAUUUGGGUAAAUGGAACCACAUGAGGGCUAAGAGCCAUCCCAGCUAGGAGCCCUGCUCUCUGUGCUGGCUCCCAUGAUGUGAUUCACUGCGAGCUGCCAGCACCCAUGAGAACAGUGACAGGUGCCCUAAGAAAUUGUGGUAGCAGAGUGUGGAAUUCAAAGUGAGACUCUUACCAGCCUGCUAAUGACAGUGGAGGAGCACAGAGGUAUACCUGUAACUCAAGCUGAUCCACUCCAAAAAAAUUAAAAUACAAAAAAAAGCAAAGACAGGCAUGCCUGAUGCAGACAGAAGAGACACGCAGGAGAAGGGAUUUUUGAGCCACAUGGCUGACAAGGAGCAAGGAGCUGGGAGAAGCAGCCGUGCUGGGAAGCUGCCUGAAGCUGGGAAGAAGCUCCACGAGGCCGUCUGCGUGCUGCUGGUGGAGCUGUGCGAGAGGUUCACCUUCUUCGGCAUCGUGUGCAACAUGAUCCUCUUCUGCACGGCCAGGCUGGGCUACUGCAGCCACCAGGCAGCCAUGGUCAACAUGGGCUUCGUGGGCACCUCCACGCUGACCCCAGUGCUGGUGGGCUGGCUGGCGGAGUACCUGGUGGGGAGGACCAAGCUGGUGUGCAUCUGCAUGUUCCUGCACUUCCUAGGCACAGCACUGUUACCUGUGGUGUCUUUCCCCUUCGAGGACGUUCACAUCGACAGACGACACGUUCUCCUCACCCUGCCCAAAAGGGAGCAGAAAAUUGUGUUCUACUUUGCACUCCUCACAGCCAGCCUGGGAAUUGGAGGCAUAAGAGCCAUUGUGUGCCCACUGAGUGCCUACAGCCUCGAGGACUGUGGGCCAAAGGAGCUGCUUUCAUUUUUCAACUGGUUUCAUUGGCUGGUUAACUUGAAUUCAGCAGUGGUCUUUGUCAGCAUUUCUUACAUCCAGCAGUCCGUGGCCAGGAACCUUGGCUUUCUUAUCCCAUUUGUGUCUGGGCUUAUGGCUAUGAUCACAAUUCACAUGGUUCGGGGUGAAAUGAUUUACAAACCUAAAACAGACAGUUCCCUGCUGACGACUUUUGGGGUGAUUUUUAGUGCCCUGAAGACGUGCUGCGUGCGCUACCGCUACCUCGGCACAGCCGUGGCCAGCUGGCUGGACCAUGCCAAGGAAAACCACGGUGGGCACUACUCUGAGACUCAGGUGGAGGGCACAAAGUCACUGGCCAGACUCUUCCCCCUGUUCACUUUCCAGAUUCUCUACAGAACGUGCAUUAUGCAGAUUCCUUCAGGAUAUUAUCUCCAAACCAUGAAUUCCAACUUGCACUUUGGUGGAUUUGUCUUGCCAGUUGCAGUGAUGAACGUGAUAAGCAUCGUGCCGCUACUGAUUCUUGUUCCUAUUUUGGAGUGCAUUAACUCCUGGCUCUUUAGCUCCAAGGACACUGGACAUUCUCCAACAAUUUAUAUUGUUGUAGGUCAUUUAUCUGCUGCUCUUUCCGUGAUGGCUGCUGGCUUCUCCGAAAUCCACCGCAAGCGCUUCCCUCAGGUGGAGCAGACUCUCUCCGAGGAGCUCCUCCUGGUCUCCUCCAUGCCUUGCUUCCACUUGGCUCCUCAGUACAUCCUGCUUGGAGUGGCUGAAGCCUUGGUAACUCCCUCCUGUUCCUUACUUUCAUUCUGGCUUGUGCCUGAAAGGAUGAGAGGGAUUUCCAUGCACUUCUUAGCUCUCUUUAAUGGAGCUGGCUGCUUUAUGGGAGCUCUCUUUGUUCAGACAGCCCACGCAGGCACUCAAGGCAACUGGUUCCCACACUUGCUGCAUGAAGGUAAACUGGAGAGGUUCUUCUUCUUCCUGGCUUCCUUGAUGAUGGUGAACACCCUGGGGUUCUGGGCCAUUGCACACAGAUACAACAAUCUCCAUGAGGAUUGCACCAAUGGGUUCAGAGGAGGUCUUCCUGGAGAAAAGCUUUUGAAGCGUGAAAAAGCCAUCAAGCAUUAUAAUUCUGUCCUGGAAAGUUCUCCCAUUUUGUCUCCUGUGGAGAAAACCUGAUAAAAUUUCACCCUGAUAACAUUUAAACCCUAAAUUUUGGGGGUUUUUUAUCCACCAGCUCUCUAAGGAUAAAUUAUCCAGCGCACUUAAGUGGAACUAUGUUCUGGUAUUUAUGAAUUAUGUGGUGAAAUAAUAUUAUUUAGAAGUUGACAUGGGAUUUGGCCUUGAAGGAGGCUGCACUGUCAUAAUUCACAUGGAGGCCAAGGAGAGCUCACUGCUUGCCACAUCUGAUGGAGAGAGGCUUUUAAUCUUUAUAUGGAAACAGAAACUGAAACAUGAGAAUAGAUGGCAGCAGAUAACAGAAUGCAGGCAUUUGAGUUCAAUUGUCUGAUGAAGAUAAUUCUGCAAGAAAAAGAGGAUUAGUUAACUCCCUGGAUAAGACUUCCUUAGAAUGGGCUUUGGGAUGAAGAGUUGAAUAUUGAAUGUACUUACAUGGACAGGAGAAAUGCUUUUUCUAUCAGAUUUAAUAAAGAGUUUGGAUUUCAGAUGGAUGGCAGAAGAAAAGGGGGCACUGGAUGCUGAAUUUGGCCUUAGUUCAGUUGGUGGAGCAGAGGAAUCUACAUCUAUCAAUGUAAAAUCUAUCAAUCAAUCAGUCUCACUGUUAUGACAGGGCAAUUUAGCACUCAAAACCAACAGACAGGAAUUUUUCUUGAGCUGCAGCAUCUAGGACUCCACUCAAAGCUGAUGGAAUCCUUUGUGCAUACAGGGCACUGCCUAAAUUAUAUAAAUCUUGUGCCAGCACACUGAGAAAUCAAUAUAAAAGACUCUAAGGGUUUGGUCUUUGAAGGAAAGCUGCUUUUCACUUCUGAAAAAUUUAGUGACUUUUUACAUUUUAAAAAAAAAAGUUGGAGGACAGAGAAAAUAAGGAUGUGUGUGUGCAUACAAAAUGAUGCCAUAAACACCUGAAAAAUGUUAGGAGAGCCUGCUUUUGUUCAGCCUUUUGUUGAUCUGUGGCAGUUUUCACCAAGCACUCAGAUCUGACCGCUUGUGUUUGGGUCACCUGUUGCCAUUCUGGAUUGCUUUGCACAAAGGAAUUUUAGGGUACUCAUGUUUUAAUCCUCACCAUAAAGGUUUAUAGUUCUGAAAUGUAUUGUGGGAAAAGUUACCUCCUAGAUGAGAUUAGGAGUGGCCAGAAACAUCCCACUUCAGUUUCCUGUUUGAUUACUGCCUAAAUGUUCUCACUGUUCUCCCUUGAAAUUAGUAUGAAGGGCUCUACAUUCAGACUUGACUUGGGAAGAAGUUGCUUUUGUGCAGCUCUGGGUUUCACUGAGUGCUCGUUAGGGGUCAUUACUGGCCUUGAAUAGCCAGAUGGAUUUCUGAUUACUGCUGGUACACUUUGGGGGUGUCUUUUUAAUGGUUAAAUGUGUGUUUUGUACUGUAUUCAUGGACACACCAAAAAAAAAAAAAAAGGCAAGUUCUGUCCCAGACAGUUCACAAACCACCUCAGUUAAGUCUAAAUUCAUGGGACACCAUUUUUGGGGGGGAGGGGGAAAAGAAAACUUAACGGAGAGGAUUGAGAUCUCCAUCUGUUAAGUUUGCACUGAUUAUAAAACACAUGCUCCCAGUUGGAACAAGAUGCAUUAAAAGAGCAAUUUCACUUCUACUGCCUAGCACAAUGUCACUGAGCACCUGCAAUAGUUUAAACAUUAAGCAUAAUUGGCUUUGCUUGACAUAAAUCUGCAGUUUUGUAAAUAAGAGCAGUUGAGUUUCUGUGUAAUACCAAUUAGCUAUAAGGAAUGCUUUGUUUGCUGAAGCCUGCAGCUUUGUGGAGGGAAGAGGGAGUUGUUAAUGCUCAGCAGUGGUAGUCAGAAAGUAGAACCCAGAUUAGACAAUUACACAGGCUUUGAAUAUCCUUGUGAAAGUUACUUCAUUUGUUUCAAUCAGUUUCCCUAGAGUAGGAAAGAAAGAAUAACAUCUAUAAUUUUUAAAUUUUUUUGGUAAAGAGCUAUGUGGCUGUGUGAUCAAAGUAACCUGGAGGUAAUUUUACAGCACUCAACUGAGAUGUCUUGUCCUAUGCUGGAUUUCUUUUCUCUUCUUUUAGUGGAAGCUACUUAAAAAUUCUUGAAGCACCUUGAAAAUUCUUGUAAAUUUUCUUGAAUCACUUGUUUUCUGCCAGGGAUGGAGGAAAGAGGUGCAUGAUCCACUAGACAUGAAAACCACUCUUGUUCAGUUCCUGUGGGAGCUGUGAGUUGGAAAGGUCAGGUAGGAGAAUCCCUUCCUUGUGGCAUUACAGAGUAGAACUGCAGAGCAGAACUGAAGCUUUCGACUUAAGCUUGGAGUCUGUUUGCUAUAACAUGUUUAGAUUUGUCUUGGCAAGGGCAAAUGCAGCUACCUUCAAGAGGAUGUUUUGAAAGUCUGCUUUUUUUCAUCUGAAAAAGAAAAGUAAACUCACAAGUCUUCUCAUGAUUUCUCUGUUCUCUGUCUGUAACUUUAAAUAUAGAUUUCCAUGAAUCAGAGAAGGUUGACACCUAAACAUUAUGAAAUCUACUAGUUUUGGUGAUGGCUCUUUAAUCAGUUCUAAUACUCAGUGGUAAUAAGAGUGAAAGAAACUGCUCUGAUGGGGAUUUUUCAGUGUUUUGGAGAUAUUUCAUCUCUAGAGUACUGGAUGGUCGCACCCUAAGACUACCAAGUUGUAAAUACAGUCUAUAGAUUUGGUUUUUAUUUCAAAAUAAAAUUAACAGAAGCUUUUUUUUUUAAAAAAA